Molecule: transfer RNA, 40 nt
Filed under: Corallorhiza odontorhiza
Lineage: Eukaryota; Viridiplantae; Streptophyta; Magnoliopsida; Asparagales; Orchidaceae
Description: partial tRNA-Phe
Source: RNAcentral
GUGGGGAUAGGUGAGUUGGUAGAGGAGAGGAGUGAAAAAG